This is a non-coding RNA of Cicer arietinum (chickpea), 408 nucleotides long. The record is from RefSeq and is a predicted model, not a curated record. Lineage: Eukaryota; Viridiplantae; Streptophyta; Magnoliopsida; Fabales; Fabaceae.
AGUUGAUGUUGUGGUCCUCUCUCUCACUCUCUGUGGUUCUAGCUUUAGAAGAUGGAGUAAGGAGAGGGUAGCAAUCAAGGAGGACCGCAAGGAAUAAUGGAGCAUCAUCACUCUUUUAAAUGAGCAUCACUAUUGAGAACCACAAAAAUCUACUCAUGCAAGUGAAUGGUUGCUGCCGCAUCAACCAUAUGCAUAUUGCUCAUCAAGUUCCAAAUAUUGCUUUACUAUUUUUAUUAACAGAUUUGGAUUGGAAUAUAUAAUUAUACUCAUUCUGAAUGACCCUAAUUAUAAUUAGGGUUGUAUUGUGUGUUGUAUGCCUUAGAUGUUUACAACCUAUUCUGGAUGUCUGUAAUUAUAAAGUUUAUGACUCAUUUUGUAUGAUGUUUGUAAGUUUUUGAUUUGGAUGAA